This 118-nucleotide ribosomal RNA is filed under the name Danio rerio (zebrafish). Lineage: Eukaryota; Metazoa; Chordata; Actinopteri; Cypriniformes; Danionidae. The record is from RNAcentral.
CAAUAAAGCACACCCUUUAGACGCCACCACAAGACGGGUUGCUCGAAGGAAGCCAAGCAGGGUUGAGCCUGGUUAGUAUCUGGAUGGGAGAUCACACUGAAAACAAGGUUGCUGUUGA